UGCGUAGGCGGAUCAAUAAGUCAGUGGUGAAAUCUCUCGGCUCAACCGGGAAACUGCCAUUGAUACUGUUAAUCUUGAGUUCGGUUGAGGUAGGCGGAAUGUGUAAUGUAGCGGUGAAAUGCUUAGAUAUUACACAGAACACCAAUUGCGUAGGCAGCUUACUAGACCGACACUGACGCUGAGGCACGAAAGCGUGGGUAGCGAACAGGAUUAGAUACCCUGGUAGUCC
Molecule: ribosomal RNA, 229 nt
Filed under: uncultured bacterium
Lineage: Bacteria
Description: partial 16S ribosomal RNA
Rfam family: Bacterial small subunit ribosomal RNA
Source: RNAcentral